CAGUAACCAAGCUCCUUUGUUCCCCAAUCUUGUCCGGCCAAAUUCGUCGCCGUGGUGCACUCUUGGCCCGAUUCCUCGCAGCCACGGCGCCUACUCGUCAUCCCGCAUCCAUUUUGCUACUUCCCGGGCUCCCUCCCUCACCGGACGACGCCCUCCAUAGGAGCUCCUCCACCGCCCCCUUCCUGUGCCGUUCCUCCCUAUGCGCCGCCCAUCUCCACGCGUCUGACUCCCUUCCGGUGAGCCUCCUGGCCCCGUGCGCCGCCCCUCUCCCUCCCCAAGCCGCCCCUUCUCUUUCCCCCACCUUCGGUCCCAAGUCCAUGGCCGGCCGUGCCUGUUCCCGUGCGUGCGUGCCUGUGUUGUGUACUGUUGGUGCGUGGGGGGCUUCAUUGGAGAAGAAGAAGGAAGUGUAGGGGGUUAAGGGGAAGUUUCAGGGAUGUUUGCGCAUUUAACCCGUAGACCCAGGGGGUAGAUCGUAAGAUCAUCUCGGUUUUGUUUGUUCUCUGGAUCUAAAACGGCUGAAAGUUUAAAAAUUCAUAGUAAAUUGUAGAAAAAACGUAAAAUAUCAAAUGAGGACUUUUUGGAAUCCUUGAGAGAAUAAUUACACAGUAGAGUUAUAAUAUAAUAUAUUUUAGUAGAAAGUUUCUGAUGUUUUUAUUUAUUCUUUCAAAGUGCUUUUAGAAAUCCUUUUAAGUUGUUAGAUGCACAUCUUGAGUUAUAGAAGUCCAAAACUUGUGAUUCCAGUUGUGUUGGUCUUGUGAUGACACCCUCUAGCUAAGAAAAAUAUUAAACAUGCUAGUUGUGUACUGUUUUUAACAUGUUUUGAUUUAAUCUUGAUAAAUAGGCAAAUUCUAGCUUGCCGUGCUUAUCAUUUUCAUAUCUAAAGUUGUGGCGCUCCAAUUUCUGUGAAAUUUUUAUGGUAGGCUAUAAAUGAUGCUCUUGAGCUGUGGUAAAAAUGUCAUUGAUUGGUGCAUGUAUGACUGAGUUAUUGUUUUAACCUGUUUAUUGCUUCAUAAAUGGUUUUAAAUAAGUUAUAACUUUCAUGUAGGUGUAAAAAUGGGAAAUGUGGUUCCACUACCUUUGUAUGAUGUUCUUCUACCCUAAUAACAUUUUAUAUGGCUAUGUGUUUAUAGAAAUGAUGAUCUUUAGAUUUAUCUUGCUUUUACAUGCUUUCUUGCAAGAGCAAUUUAUCUUUUUCGUAGCAACUAAAUUAUACCACUUGAGCAUGUGAGAUUUAUACAGUAGCCAUGUUUUGAUAACAUCUAUCAUCCAUAAAAAUCUCAGCUCCCAAUGAGAUGUUUUCCACAUCACCUAUAAUUAAUAUAUAUGCUUACUAUAUAAUUGGAUGAUGAAAGUUUGCUAGUAGAUGCAUAUACUUAGGUCAUGUGAAGCUUUUAAUCAUUAUUUUUGAGGGGUACAUAUGAUGCUAAGUUAUGAUAAGUAGUGGUUAAGCUUUGAAUAUGACUCAUAUGUAUGCUCUCAUGUUAAGAUAACAACUACUUAUAUAAGUUCUUCACCUUUGCUUUGAUUCUUGCUUAAGGUAUUUAGGGUGUUCCAUGUUACCUAAAGCUAAUGCUAAUUAACUAUGUUCAUAGUAUUUGUGAGCUAUGUGUUUAACUUAUGCAUAUGUUACCUUGUUAAAGAACUAAAUGAAGAACCUUGUUGCAUAUGUACUGAAAUGGCUGCUAGAGCAGUUCUGUUGUGGUAAUAUUUUCAUGAUGCAAAUGAUGUUUUCUAUAAAUAUGGUGAACACAAAAGUUGUAGGUAACUUCAUAAUAUAGCUUGUGUUAAAUGUUUAUGACCAUAAGCCUGAUGGUUUAGGAGCUAUAGAUUUUACAAGUUCAUUGUUAGAUUUUGCAUGCUCUAUGUAUAGGUCUGAAUGAUUGCAUUGUUUGACUUAACUAAGCUUUGAACCAUAUCUUGGAGACAAUAUAAUAAGUGUACUGGUUUUCAUAAGCUUUCCAAAUUAUUAUAGAUCACCCCUUUUGGUGGUCUAAAUCUCCGGUUAUGAGCUUGUGAAGUGGAAUGACAGAAUCUGUCCUAAUCUGGACAGAGAUGUCUUCUUUGUGACAUUUGACCUAGUUAACUUUAGUUUUAGCUUGUGGUGUUUACAAAAAAGUUGUGCAUGGUUUGUUAAGCUUUCUAAAAAGUCUAGAAUCACCUUGUUGUGAAAACUAGAACUCAACUUAUGGCUGUCUAAAGUUUAAUGUCACCAUCUGUCCAAGUUUGGACAGGUUUGCUUCUUUGUGUUGUGUAAUCUUGUUAACUGUUGAGUCACUAAAAGAUGAUAAGAUGAACGUUAUAGAUAACUUAAUAAGCUUUCUAUAAAGUUAAGGAUCAUGGUUGUUGGAGGUCUAGAACUCCAUUUAUGCAUCUCUGAAGUUCAUGUCGGUUUUCUGUCCUUGUUUGUACAGAUCUGCUCUUUGGUGUGUUUUCACCUUAUUAGUUGUUGAAUUAGUUUUUUGUGUGAAUAAUAAAGAUUUAGAUAAUUUCAUUAGCUUUACAGAAAGUCUAGGAUUACCCUUUUUGGAUGCUUAUAUCUCUAGAUUUGGUGUAUGUGCUUAAGUUAUUAGCUUUAACUUGGCAUUGCCUUAUAUGUUUGUUAGUUAGCUCAUAUCACUAUUAGAGUUAAAUUGAUCUACCUGAGAAUAUUAUAAAUGUGUUAUAUAAUGUUAGUCAAGCACUUAACUAAUAAAUGGUCAUGUAUACAUGUUGCUAUGAAAUAACCUUGCUGCAUAGCUUGCUAGAACCUUAGUGAUGUUGGUGUGUGACUUGCUUAUGUAUGAGUGGUUUAAAAACAAAUGUAAUAUACUUUGAUCACCUUCAACUUGUUGGUUGUGUGAUGCACUUAUAUAUGCCAUGUUGAUAAGCACCAUUACCCUAGUUCUUGUAUGAUGCUAGGCUUAAUUAGCUCUUGAUUGUUAAAUGCUUGCAAUAGCUUGACUUGAGUUAACUAGUGUGCCGUGCUUGUUAGGCUUGCUAUCUGUAUGGAGACUUGAGUGAUAGUUAGUUAAAGAACUUGCUCUCUAAGUGCUUAUAUCUUGUGGUGUAACCUUGUGCGUGUCCUGAAUGCUUUUGUGUGAUGCAUCUCUUUUUACCGUUCUUCGUAUUCAUGCUGUUGCAUCUUGCAUCUCAUCUAGAUACGCUAGAUAAACCACGUGAAGGACGUGAUGAUGGAACCGAACCCAAAGACAGUGUAUGGUGGAGCUAUCCCGAAGAUGGAAGGACUAAGCAUGUGCCGAGAUGGGAGAUGCUCACCAAGCGAGUGUCGUCUAACAAACACUAACCUAGUGUGGAUUUCAGGCAAGCCCCGGUGCAUGAAUUCCCUAUUUUAAAUUUAUGCCAAUUGUUGAUGCUUAUGAUUGUGAAUUUACGUUUGUAGGAUUUGAUUGAAAUCGUAGAUGCAUGAACUUAGUACCUUGAUCUGAAUACUAGUUGCUAAGGUCGAGUAGUUGCAAUGCUUAAUAGGUCUGGGUAAAAGUCGAGUGAUUUCCUGUCACUCGUGAGUUAUAGGAGUUGAAUAUUUUAUUUAUGUUGCAACUAUAAGGAUGACGGAUGGGGUCGGGCUUAUGUUCGAUACUUGGUGGAUUGCCCCGUCUGUCUAAAAGAAAUUGGACUAUGGUCGAAACGUGUCGGCGCUCGUGAUCAAGUGUUUGAAAGUACUAAUCUCAUACCUAGUAUGGGAUGGGGAAGCCUACUACCUGAUUGAACUAGGGCAUGUCAUACUCCCCCGGCUGUCCUUGGAACGUCAUUCCCAUGGUGCAUCAUGUGGGUUCAAGUGCGGUCAUGGUACGGCAGAGGCUGGGAUUAUGGAGCAUUGCAUGCCAAAGGCAGUUGGCCCUGACAUGUGCCUAAGGGAUCGAUGGGGACGGCUAACAAAUGAAGCGACCCUUCGUGGUGCACGGAUAUCGUGAGAAUAGGUUCGCCAUGCAUGGUUAAUAAAUUCGAAUCGAUUCGUCUACCUCUCACAAUUUGGGACUACUUGAUCGCUAUUCUGUACUGAGUAAAGAUGGAACAUGAUGAUGAUAUUAAUCUUGAUGCUUGUUCUUUAAUUGCUUGAAAACUAUGCUUGCUUAGUAUAAGUUGCUAAUCUAGACUGGUUAAUGAACUUAGAACUUGAGCUAAAAUAUUGAAAGUAAGGACCAACUUUAGUCGUUUUUGGCAAAAACAAACCCACCGCCAAAAAGCCUUGCAUGUCUAGGAGUCAGUGGAGUAGUUACCACCUGACGGGUAAGCCUUGUUGAGUAUUAGUAUACUCAGCCUUGCUCGUGGCUUGUUUUUCAGGUGUGGUUGCUGGUGUUGUCUUGUUCGGGACCCAUCCUUGGUCGGCGAGGACAGGGGUCAUUGAUGUCAUGAUCAGGCUUCGUCAUGAUAUCGUGUAUCGACGUUUAGCUUCCGCUUGUUUUACUUCUUCGUUGUUUGAAACCUUGCAAAUUCUAUUUGAAUUUUGAAAACUCUGAUGUAAUAAAAUGUUGAACUAUAUUUUUGUGAUGGGAAUGUUGUAAUCUUUGUGCCCACUCACUUUCAUGUGAGCAAUGCUUCUCGAUCCCGAGUAAGUGGUUUAUCGGAUGAAAUCCGACGGACGACCAAGUUGACCUGCUUAAAGUGCAUGAUCGCUUGUCAGGCGACUUAAGUGCAUUUUAGUCAGGUUAAUUUGGGUGGCUCUGCCAUAGCUUGUCACUUCCAUAGGAUAUCGGAACAUCCGGUGCUAUAGUGUUUCCUCUGCCUCCUCUGAGAAUUGCUCUGAUGCUUGUAGAAAUGUGACCAUCGAAACAUCCGAUGGUUAACUUUCACUUGACUUCAACGCUCCGGUGGAUACUCCGACACUCAUCUUGGGUACCAUCGGAACAUCCGAUUUGCACACUGAAGUGUCGUU
RNAcentral lists this long non-coding RNA (4873 nucleotides) under Setaria italica (foxtail millet). RNAcentral describes it as "long non-coding RNA (SITA_LNC006155)". Lineage: Eukaryota; Viridiplantae; Streptophyta; Magnoliopsida; Poales; Poaceae. The record is from RNAcentral.